Molecule: ribosomal RNA, 1335 nt
Filed under: uncultured bacterium
Lineage: Bacteria
Description: partial 16S ribosomal RNA
Rfam family: Bacterial small subunit ribosomal RNA
Source: RNAcentral
CGGACGCUAAUACCGCAUACGUCCUACGGGAGAAAGCAGGGGACCUUCGGGCCUCGCGCUAUCAGAUGAGCCUAGGUCGGAUUAGCUAGUUGGUGAGGUAAUGGCUCACCAAGGCUACGAUCCGUAACUGGUCUGAGAGGAUGAUCAGUCACACUGGAACUGAGACACGGUCCAGACUCCUACGGGAGGCAGCAGUGGGGAAUAUUGGACAAUGGGCGAAAGCCUGAUCCAGCCAUGCCGCGUGUGUGAAGAAGGUCUUCGGAUUGUAAAGCACUUUAAGUUGGGAGGAAGGGCAUUAACCUAAUACGUUAGUGUUUUGACGUUACCGACAGAAUAAGCACCGGCUAACUCUGUGCCAGCAGCCGCGGUAAUACAGAGGGUGCAAGCGUUAAUCGGAAUUACUGGGCGUAAAGCGCGCGUAGGUGGUUUGUUAAGUUGAAUGUGAAAUCCCCGGGCUCAACCUGGGAACUGCAUCCAAAACUGGCAAGCUAGAGUAUGGUAGAGGGUAGUGGAAUUUCCUGUGUAGCGGUGAAAUGCGUAGAUAUAGGANAGNGAACNACCAGNUGGNCGAAGGCNGACUACCUGGACUGAUACUGACACUGNAGGUGCGAAAGCGUGGGGAGCAAACAGGAUUAGAUACCCUGGUAGUCCACGCCGUAAACGAUGUCAACUAGCCGUUGGGAGUCUUGAACUCUUAGUGGCGCAGCUAACGCAUUAAGUUGACCGCCUGGGGAGUACGGCCGCAAGGUUAAAACUCAAAUGAAUUGACGGGGGNCCCGCANCAAGCNGGUGGAGCAUGUGGUUUAAUUCGAUGCAACGCNGNAAGAACCUUACCUNACCCNUUGACAUCCAGAGGANCUUUCCAGANGANUGGAUUGGUGCCUUCGGGNAACUCUNNNGANGACANGGUGCNUGCNAUGGNCUGNUCGNUCNAGCNUNCGUGUUNGUGAAAUGUUGGGUUAAGUCCCGUAANCNGAGCGCAACCCNCUNAUNCCUUNAUUUGCCAGCNGAGUAAUGNUCGGGAACNUCUANNANGGNAGACUGCCGGUGACAAACCGGAGGAAGGUGGGGACGACGUCAAGUCAUCAUGGCCCUUACGGGUAGGGCUACACACGUGCUACAAUGGCAAGUACAAAGGGUUGCAAUACUGCGAAGUGGAGCCAAUCCCAUAAAGCUUGCCUCAGUCCGGAUUGGAGUCUGCAAACUCGACUCCAUGAAGUCGGAAUCGCUAGUAAUCGUGGAUCAGAAUGCCACGGGUGAAUACGUUCCCAGGGCCUUUGUACACACCGCCUCGUCACACCCAUGGGGAGUGGACUGCACCAGAAGUGGGUUAGC